Molecule: transfer RNA, 90 nt
Filed under: Anaerolineae bacterium
Lineage: Bacteria; Bacillati; Chloroflexota; Anaerolineae
Description: tRNA-Ser
Rfam family: tRNA
About the family: Transfer RNA (tRNA) molecules are approximately 80 nucleotides in length. Their secondary structure includes four short double-helical elements and three loops (D, anti-codon, and T loops). Further hydrogen bonds mediate the characteristic L-shaped molecular structure. tRNAs have two regions of fundamental functional importance: the anti-codon, which is responsible for specific mRNA codon recognition, and the 3' end, to which the tRNAs corresponding amino acid is attached (by aminoacyl-tRNA synthetases). tRNAs cope with the degeneracy of the genetic code in two manners: having more than one tRNA (with a specific anti-codon) for a particular amino acid; and 'wobble' base-pairing, i.e. permitting non-standard base-pairing at the 3rd anti-codon position.
Source: RNAcentral
GGGGAGAUGCCAGAGUGGACGAUUGGAGCCGCCUGCUAAGCGGUUGUGGGGCUAGAAACUCCACCCAGGGUUCGAAUCCCUGUCUCCCCG